ACCUGAGUGGCUCAGUCAGUUGAGCAUCUGACUUCAACUCAGGUCAUGAUUUCACAGUUCAUGAGUUCAAGCCUCACAUCGGGCU
This 85-nucleotide transfer RNA is filed under the name Felis catus (domestic cat). It matches the Rfam family "tRNA". Rfam says of the family: Transfer RNA (tRNA) molecules are approximately 80 nucleotides in length. Their secondary structure includes four short double-helical elements and three loops (D, anti-codon, and T loops). RNAcentral also lists the same sequence under 1 other name. Lineage: Eukaryota; Metazoa; Chordata; Mammalia; Carnivora; Felidae. The record is from Rfam by way of RNAcentral.